GACGAACGCUGGCGGCGUGCUUAACACAUGCAAGUCGAACGGUAAGGCUCCAGCUUGCUGGGGUACACGAGUGGCGAACGGGUGAGUAACACGUGGGUGACCUGCCCUGCACUUCGGGAUAAGCCUGGGAAACUGGGUCUAAUACCGGAUAGGGCCAUGGUGUGGAUACUGUGGUGGAAAGUUUUUUCGGUGUGGGGUGGGCCCGCGGCCUAUCAGCUUGUUGGUGGGGUAAUGGCCUACCAAGGCGGCGACGGGUAGCCGGCCUGAGAGGGUGGACGGCCACAUUGGGACUGAGACACGGCCCAGACUCCUACGGGAGGCAGCAGUGGGGAAUAUUGCACAAUGGGCGGAAGCCUGAUGCAGCGACGCCGCGUGGGGGAUGACGGCCUUCGGGUUGUAAACUCCUUUCACCAUCGACGAAGGGUUUCUGACGGUAGAUGGAGAAGAAGCACCGGCUAACUACGUGCCAGCAGCCGCGGUAAUACGUAGGGUGCGAGCGUUGUCCGGAAUUACUGGGCGUAAAGAGCUCGUAGGUGGUUUGUCGCGUCGUCUGUGAAAUUCCGGGGCUUAACUCCGGGCGUGCAGGCGAUACGGGCAUAACUUGAGUACUGUAGGGGAGACUGGAAUUCCUGGUGUAGCGGUGAAAUGCGCAGAUAUCAGGAGGAACACCGGUGGCGAAGGCGGGUCUCUGGGCAGUAACUGACGCUGAGGAGCGAAAGCAUGGGGAGCGAACAGGAUUAGAUACCCUGGUAGUCCAUGCCGUAAACGGUGGGCGCUAGGUGUGGGUUUCCUUCCACGGGAUCCGUGCCGUAGCUAACGCAUUAAGCGCCCCGCCUGGGGAGUACGGCCGCAAGGCUAAAACUCAAAGGAAUUGACGGGGGCCCGCACAAGCGGCGGAGCAUGUGGAUUAAUUCGAUGCAACGCGAAGAACCUUACCUGGGCUUGACAUAUACAGGAUCGCGCCAGAGAUGGUGUUUCCCUUGUGGCUUGUAUACAGGUGGUGCAUGGUUGUCGUCAGCUCGUGUCGUGAGAUGUUGGGUUAAGUCCCGCAACGAGCGCAACCCUUGUCUUAUGUUGCCAGCACGUUGUGGUGGGGACUCGUAAGAGACUGCCGGGGUUAACUCGGAGGAAGGUGGGGAUGACGUCAAAUCAUCAUGCCCCUUAUGUCCAGGGCUUCACACAUGCUACAAUGGUCGGUACAGUGGGUUGCCAGUCCGUGAGGGCGAGCUAAUCCCGUAAAGCCGGUCUCAGUUCGGAUCGGGGUCUGCAACUCGACCCCGUGAAGUCGGAGUCGCUAGUAAUCGCAGAUCAGCAACGCUGCGGUGAAUACGUUCCCGGGCCU
Molecule: ribosomal RNA, 1342 nt
Filed under: uncultured bacterium
Lineage: Bacteria
Description: bacterial SSU rRNA
Rfam family: Bacterial small subunit ribosomal RNA
Source: RNAcentral